Molecule: ribosomal RNA, 268 nt
Filed under: Staphylococcus aureus
Lineage: Bacteria; Bacillati; Bacillota; Bacilli; Caryophanales; Staphylococcaceae
Description: partial 16S ribosomal RNA
Rfam family: Bacterial small subunit ribosomal RNA
Source: RNAcentral
UUUAUGGAGAGUUUGAUCCUGGCUCAGGAUGAACGCUGGCGGCGUGCCUAAUACAUGCAAGUCGAGCGAACGGAUGAGAAGCUUGCUUCUCUGAUGUUAGCGGCGGACGGGUGAGUAACACGUGGAUAACCUACCUAUAAGACUGGGAUAACUUCGGGAAACCGGAGCUAAUACCGGAUAAUAUUUUGAACCGCAUGGUUCAAAAGUGAAAGACGGUCUUGCUGUCACUUAUAGAUGGAUCCGCGCUGCAUUAGCUAGUUGGUAAGGU